Molecule: long non-coding RNA, 442 nt
Filed under: Pongo abelii (Sumatran orangutan)
Lineage: Eukaryota; Metazoa; Chordata; Mammalia; Primates; Hominidae
Description: lincRNA
Source: RNAcentral
GUGAAGAAAGAGAGGAUUAAUGAGAAAAACAAAUUAGAUGGCAUAGCCUGGAUGCAGAAAGUCUGACUUCAAAAUUCAUGAACCUUCCAAAAUUUACCAUGUUGUCCCUCUUCACUUGUAACUCUAGUGACACAGGAAGAUCAACACCUCCACAUUUGCCCCCAGUGAUAGGCCUUGGUAGCAUAACUGGUUGUGAUAUCAUAGAAAAUGACUGCAUGCAUGUAGAAGGAUAAAAAAGAUGGACAAUAACCAGAGUGCAUAAGAGGGUAAGAUGAAAGGUAUGAGGAAGUGGUGAUUAUCAGAACAGAAAAGAGAGAAAAAGUAAAAAGGGAGAAAGUGGAGGAAAGCAAACUAAAUCUCAGGAAACAUUGUGAAAAAAUAGUGAGAAGUGAGAGACUCUUCCAGCAUAGUAACUGUAUUCAACAGGUGUGUCUAUGCUGUG